GAUUGUGGCUCAGUGGUAGAGCACUCACCUAGCACGGGUGAGGCACUGGGUUUGAUCCUCGGCACCA
RNAcentral lists this transfer RNA (67 nucleotides) under Marmota monax (woodchuck). Its description in RNAcentral is "tRNA.Ala". The record is from RNAcentral. Lineage: Eukaryota; Metazoa; Chordata; Mammalia; Rodentia; Sciuridae.